Ceratotherium simum simum (southern white rhinoceros) is the source of this 343-nucleotide non-coding RNA. The record is from RefSeq and is a predicted model, not a curated record. Lineage: Eukaryota; Metazoa; Chordata; Mammalia; Perissodactyla; Rhinocerotidae.
CAGAGCACAGGUUGGAGACCCUGGAAGGAGGACGCCCAGAGGUGCCGGGGUGCCUGGGCCAGCACCUAGAGUGCUACAGGGCUAGGAGGAGCUCGGGAACAGCGAGAGGACUCGGAGCCUCUGUCCCCGACCUGGCAGGGAAGAAGGUGUGGGACCUGCUGCGGGGUAGGGCAGGCUUGGGAUCAGCUCCAUCAGCUUGUGUGUAAACAGUACUGCUAAAGUGCUUGCGCCUGGCACGCGUGCGCUCUGCGGUGGGCCACACACCCUGCAGGGCCGGGUGGGCUUCCCUUCUCUGUCACCACCUCCCGGCCCGCCAACUGCCCACGUGACAAGGGCGGGGGGA